Molecule: long non-coding RNA, 639 nt
Organism: Equus quagga
Lineage: Eukaryota; Metazoa; Chordata; Mammalia; Perissodactyla; Equidae
Exons: 4
Source: RefSeq, a predicted model, not a curated record
UGGCGACCGGGCUUACACCCGAGGUCCCUCUCUGGGGUGGCUCUUUGCUAAGUGCUGCUGUUGCUUCCCGUGCAGAGUGUUGAAGACUUGACUCGACAAUAUGCGGCACAUUGUACUCAACGGCCUCUGAGAUCUUUUCCAGUUCCCAUUCUGCAAAGAGGUUUAAAAACAAAGACAAGCCUAUUUCUGUCCUUGGAUUCUGUGUGAAAGCAGGAGAAGACCUCAAUAACCUUUUGAGAGUGCCCAGACUUGCAGUUGAGAGGAGAACCAGAUCACAAAGCUUCUGGAGCCCCGGUUCUAGCACUCUCUGCAAGUGUCCAGAGGACAGCAGGGCCAGCUCUUCUGGAGGAGUGAGGAAGACGUGUACAGGGGAGGCCUUGUGAAGAGGUGACAUGGAGUCUUGAAGAGUCAGGAGGGAUAUUCUUCAUCUAAGACGUCCUAAGAUGUCAGGCAGAGGAAAUGGCAUGAGGAAGGACAGAGUCCUGCAUGGGAAUGGAGUGUCUGGAAAUGAAGAACAGACAGCAGUUUAUCAUCUGGUACUAUAGUAUCUCCUUUGGUCUCCAGCUCUGAGGGGUCAGCCUAUACAUUUCACAGAUGAGCAGACUGAGGCUCAGAGACAUGAAAUGAUUUCCCCGAGAG